This 253-nucleotide ribosomal RNA is filed under the name uncultured bacterium. Its description in RNAcentral is "partial 16S ribosomal RNA". It matches the Rfam family "Bacterial small subunit ribosomal RNA", at positions 524 to 776 of the family's 1533-position model. The record is from RNAcentral.
UACGAAGGGGGCUAGCGUUGCUCGGAAUCACUGGGCGUAAAGGGUGCGUAGGCGGGUUUUUAAGUCAGGGGUGAAAUCCUGGAGCUCAACUCCAGAACUGCCUUUGAUACUGAAAAUCUUGAGUUCGGGAGAGGUGAGUGGAACUGCGAGUGUAGAGGUGAAAUUCGUAGAUAUUCGCAAGAACACCAGUGGCGAAGGCGGCUCACUGGCCCGAUACUGACGCUGAGGCACGAAAGCGUGGGGAGCAAACGGG